UCGAGCGGACAGAAGGGAGCUUGCUCCCGGACGUUAGCGGCGGACGGGUGAGUAACACGUAGGUAACCUGCCCCUUAGACUGGGAUAACUCCGGGAAACCGGAGCUAAUACGGGAUAAUAAAGAGAAUCACCUGAUUCUCUUUUGAAAGACGGCGUCUAGCUGUCACUAAGGGAUGGGCCUGCGGCGCAUUAGCUAGUUGGUAAGGUAACGGCUUACCAAGGCGACGAUGCGUAGCCGACCUGAGAGGGUGAUCGGCCACACUGGGACUGAGACACGGCCCAGACUCCUACGGGAGGCAGCAGUAGGGAAUCUUCCGCAAUGGACGAAAGUCUGACGGAGCAACGCCGCGUGAGUGAGGAAGGCCUUCGGGUCGUAAAGCUCUGUUGUGAGGGAAGAACAAGUACCGGGGUAACUACCGGUACCUUGACGGUACCUCACCAGAAAGCCACGGCUAACUCCCGUGCCAGCAGCCGCGGUAAUACGUAGGUGGCAAGCGUUGUCCGGAAUUAUUGGGCGUAAAGCGCGCGCAGGCGGCUUCUUAAGUCUGAUGUGAAAUCUCGGGGCUCAACCCCGAGCGGCCAUUGGAAACUGGGAAGCUUGAGUGCAGAAGAGGAGAGUGGAAAUUCCACGUGUAGCGGUGAAAUGCGUAGAUAUGUGGAGGAACACCAGUGGCGAAAGGCGACUCUCUGGUCUGUAACUGACGCUGAGGCGCGAAAGCGUGGGGAGCAA
RNAcentral lists this ribosomal RNA (730 nucleotides) under uncultured Bacillus sp. RNAcentral describes it as "bacterial SSU rRNA". It matches the Rfam family "Bacterial small subunit ribosomal RNA", at positions 62 to 771 of the family's 1533-position model. Lineage: Bacteria; Bacillati; Bacillota; Bacilli; Caryophanales; Bacillaceae. The record is from RNAcentral.